Salvia miltiorrhiza (redroot sage) is the source of this 1375-nucleotide long non-coding RNA. RefSeq lists it as uncharacterized. The transcript is spliced from 4 exons. NCBI's taxonomy places the organism in Eukaryota, Viridiplantae, Streptophyta, Magnoliopsida, Lamiales, Lamiaceae. The record is from RefSeq and is a predicted model, not a curated record.
UUAUUAAUUUAUAUAUAUUAUAUAAAAACACUUUCAGCAGUUAACUUUUCCUGGGAAAAAUUCUCUCUCACAUGUUUUCUACCUCUUCUUCCACUAUUCUUUCUUGAUAUUUCUCUUUCACACGUAUCUCUCUUCAUUCACUAUUCUCUACGCCAAUUACAACUUCAAAAAUCAAAAUAAUCCCCAAUAUUGAAACCGUUUGCAUCUAUUCUACACCAUCGGUAAUUCCUCUAAUUUCACUACCAUCGGUAAUUCCUCUAAUUUCACUAUUCUCUAAUUCCACCAUCGAUUGAGUCUUCUGCCGUCAUUCACCAUUCACUCAUCAAACUCUGAUGAAGACUCAUCCGCCAUACCAUUAGCUCAUCAAUGGAUUCAGGGGAGAGAAUAAGAGAAUUGGUAAAUGGGUGAAUAUCGGAGUCAAGUCGUUGCGAAAUUGCUGUUGAGAAUGAGUUGGUGUGCCGAUUGACAAAGACAAUUAAUCACCGAAUAUUGAGAAGUGAAAGGGAGAAGACUCAAGGAUUUUGAAGAAUUUGAGAUAAUGUUUAUGUUAUUUUGCAGACUUUGAGAGAAUAGUUAUGCGGUUCACUAUGAUUGAGAGAAAGAGAAAGAGAUGAGAGAGAUGUGAGAUCUUGAGAAAGAUCUGAAAUAUAGUUAUUUGUUCAGUGUAUCUACCGCCUUACCUGCUGCUUCUCUUACUAGGCAAAAAAAAUAUCGCAUCCAUGAUUGAUUUGUGUCUUAUUGCUUCUUGCUGAUAUCUAGAGAAGGUUAGUAUGGUGUGUUGGUUUCCCUACUACUUGCAUAUAUUUACAAAAUGUUAGUAUAUUGCUCUUCAAUAUCUUUUUUUCAUUGACUCCAUUUCAUUAUUUGAUCCUAGAAUGGUGGAAAACCACCUUCGAGUUAUCAAUCUUGUGUCAAACUUGCUGGGGAGCCCUCUUGGGCCUCAUCUCCAAGAGGUGGAUCAGAAGGAUUAAGAAGGUUGAAAGCUUCUAUGGCAACAAGGAAUGGGUGGCUGAUUUAGAGAAACACAAAGGUGAUCCAUCUUCAUUUAUAAAACCAGCAACAACUGUUUUGUCACCUUACUUAAAAGUUAAAAGUAGGUUAUGCAUAGUGUUUUCGAUUUGUUUAUUUAUGCUAUGUUUCUUUCUUUGCGGAGGAAAAAGAAUCUCUCAUUCGUUUAUGUUAUUGCUCUGUUUUUCUCUUUGUUUAAUCAUUAAGCUUAUUGCGCUCCUUCUUCUUCUUCUUUCUAUUAAUCUUCAUGUUCUCUUCUUCCAUUUCUUUCUCUAUUUUUAUAUUGAUGAAGUCAAGAUGAAUGCUUUUUAUUAUUAUUAUUAGUCUUCUUUCAUUCUUUUUUUCAAUUGUUUUCAGCAACAAUCGA